AUGUCUUUAACAAUACAUAAUAAAAAUAAUACAAAUAUAUAUUUAUUUCGCUUUUUUCUUCAAGCUAAAAACAUCACUACACCUAGAGUCAACAUCCUACCACCUGCUCCAAAAGAGAUUUGUGACCAGGAAAAGAAAGAUAAAACUUUGGUUUGUUUAGCCACUGGUUUUUAUCCCGAUCAUGUCAGUGUGUCCUGGAAAGAAAAUGAUGAGGAGAGAAAGGACAAGGUGUCCACUAACCCCACAGCCCAACAAGACCAGGGCACAUUACUUUACUAUAUCAGCAGCAGAAUAAAAGUUAGGGGCACUGACUGGAAGAACCCUGAAAAUCGCUUUACCUGUAUUGUCCGCUUCUUUAAUGGAGAGAGGUAUCUGAAUUUCACAAAAACCAUAAGAGGACAAAAAGGUUUGAUCGAGUAUAGUUUAUUGAGGCAAUCAUUGCAAUUUACUGUUUUGGUUUCAUGUUUUUUAGUUAAUCCAAAGAUGCUAAAAACAAUUGGCUUUGGUUAUAUCCUGUUUCUUGCCAAGAGUGUGCUGUAUGCUCUCAUCGUGGCUGGUCUUGUGUGGAAACUCAAGUCUUCAAAACAGAAGAAACUAUCACCAGAGGACUAACUUUUUCUAUUCUUAUGGCCAUUAACAGGCUAAGUCUUUCUGACUUGUGAGAUUUGUGUAAUUUUUAUUUGAUAAUUUUUUUAUUCUUUCUUGUAAUUAUACUGUCUGUAACAGUGCUUUCUUCAAAUUCCAUUGUUAUCUUUUUCAUUAUUGUAAAAAAUAUACUAUAUUACAAAUAAAUAAAGUCCCAAAAUAGUGAAAA
Non-coding RNA from Triplophysa rosa, 814 nucleotides. The record is from the annotation of a RefSeq genome assembly. NCBI's taxonomy places the organism in Eukaryota, Metazoa, Chordata, Actinopteri, Cypriniformes, Nemacheilidae.